CACUAUCUCCUUGUCGUCAUGCG
This 23-nucleotide microRNA is filed under the name Pristionchus pacificus. RNAcentral describes it as "ppc-miR-312b-5p". Its record names the gene ppc-miR-312b-5p. Lineage: Eukaryota; Metazoa; Nematoda; Chromadorea; Rhabditida; Neodiplogasteridae. The record is from miRBase by way of RNAcentral.